Hordeum vulgare subsp. vulgare (domesticated barley) is the source of this 1694-nucleotide long non-coding RNA. RefSeq lists it as uncharacterized. The record is from RefSeq and is a predicted model, not a curated record. The transcript is spliced from 2 exons. NCBI's taxonomy places the organism in Eukaryota, Viridiplantae, Streptophyta, Magnoliopsida, Poales, Poaceae.
CGCACUCGCCAUCCAUAUCGUGGUCGCGCUUCAAGCAGCACCACCACCCUCACGCCUCCGCCCAGUGCCAUUGCCCCCAUCCUUUCAUCCACACCACGCCGUCCAGCUCGCACCCCAAUCGCAUCAGCGCCCACACCACAGCCUAGUGCCGUCGCCCUUGCAUCCCCCAUCCACCCCGACGUCUUCGCAUCCCCCAUCCACGCAUACAUCUUCGCAUCCCCCAUCGACGACGCCUCUGGAACCUGGAGGUCUGGACCGACAAGUGCAAAGUGAGCGGGGACGACGGCAAACUACCCCUCCCAUCAAUCCAGGUGAUCAGGUCAGGAAAGAUAUGCGGCGUCCAGACCUUCACAUCCUUUCUUUCCUUCCUCAUGGAGGAUGGGCUGAAGCGUCGACUUUCUAGGUGGGAGAGAACAAGGGUGUGAUGUGAACCCAACUCAACACUGCCGCUCGCGGGUGAAGCAGGAGGUACAGGCGGAACCCUAGCCGAUGGAGCCUGCCAUGAUUCGUGACGAGGCGGCCAUAGUUAGAUCCGUUCUGAUUGAUUCUAUCUUUUUUUUCCUUCCAAUCCGUCACAGGCCAUUGGUUCUGGUGUAUUUGUUUGGGGAAUCCUAAGGACUAAAGUAGAUUUGCAAAUCUUCUCCAUACCAUCAGGUGCUUUUAGAUCUCAGUUGAGGUAUUCGAAUCCUAAAGCUCACGAUUUGCAAUGUUUGCUGCGAGAUCAUCUCCAAAGUUGACGCGCAGACGAGCGGCACCAGGGAAAAAUUCAACAGCAAGGCGGAGAUCUGCGCUGCCAUGGUCAACGAGAUGGGAGACCACACUGCUCAUCAUAGCUGAGAAAGGGUUCAUCAACAUUGUCACCGAGUUGCUCAAGCACUCUCACAAGGAGAGCCUUGCGAGGAAGAAUAAAUCAGGAUUCUGAGCUCUGCGUGUCACUGCAAAGGAAGGCCACGGAGGUGAGCAUUGACAAACACUUCAAUACUAAACCAGUUCUGAUGGGUCAUAUUUUUACAUGGGAACAAGGGAGCUUUGGAUAUUGUGUCUAGACUAGAAUCUCAUCGUUUGAAUGAAGAAAGGGGUUUAUGGAUUUCUAAAUUAAUUGAUCGCCAUGGUUUUGUGGGUCUUUGAUCAAUCUCCAUGGAUCCAAUUGUAUUUGUUUUGCAGUGCUGAAAUUUACCUACUCUUUAUGAUAACUGCAGUGUGCCAUUGCCUACACAAGCUAAUGAGCAAGAAAAUUGGACGUCUGACACUGCUUGUAAAUAUUGUGAAGGUACUCCUGGACCAUGAUCGAUCCCUUGGGAAAACGUUUGGCCAAUCAAAAUAUGACUCCUUUGAUAACUGCGGCGAUUAGAGGCCACUACGAUGUAGCGAACCUUAUACUGGAGUGAGAUUCUGGAUUAGUUGAACUAUCAAAGGCAAAUGGAACAACAAUUGAACAUAACCUUUAUUUUCCUGGUACAGGGAAUCUCCAGGAACGACAAGAUAUGUAUUUACAUCACAAAAACAUCAUUAGCUUUUGCAAAAAUAUGAUCUUGGUUUAAUUAUUUAUUAUCACCAUCCCAAUUUACAUUGCAGUUGUAUACACACUUCUGAAAGUAAGGUUGCAUGGUACAUUUUUGUAGGAUCGUAUUUUGUAACCGUAACUUAUCACAAUAACAGUUCAAAGUUAAUUGUUUAGCUCAACUUUUCUAUUA